AAAGCGUGCGCAGGCGGUUAUGUAAGACAGAUGUGAAAUCCACGGGCUCAACCUGGGAACUGCAUUAGUGACUGCAUAGCUGGAGUACGGCAGAGGGGGAUGGAAUUCCGCGUGUAGCAGUGAAAUGCGUAGAUAUGCGGAGGAACACCGAUGGCGAAGGCAAUCCCCUGGGCCUGUACUGACGCUCAUGCACGAAAGCGUGGGGAGCAAACAGGAUUAGAUACCCCAGU
Molecule: ribosomal RNA, 230 nt
Filed under: uncultured bacterium
Lineage: Bacteria
Description: partial 16S ribosomal RNA
Rfam family: Bacterial small subunit ribosomal RNA
Source: RNAcentral